Molecule: ribosomal RNA, 482 nt
Filed under: uncultured bacterium
Lineage: Bacteria
Description: SSU rRNA
Rfam family: Bacterial small subunit ribosomal RNA
Source: RNAcentral
AGGACGAACGCUGGCGGCGUGCCUAACACAUGCAAGUCGAACGCGCUCCAUUCGGUAGCAAUACUGAUGAAGAGCGAGUGGCGAACGGGUGAGUAGCACGUGAGCAACCUGCCCCGAAGACUGGGACAACACCGGGAAACCGGUGCUAAUACCGGAUAUCCCUAUCGGACCGCAUGAUCUGAUAAGGAAAUGGAUUCCGCUUCGGGAGGGGCUCGCGGCCUAUCAGCUAGUUGGUGGGGUAAUGGCCCACCAAGGCAUCGACGGGUAGCUGGUCUGAGAGGACGAUCAGCCACACUGGGACUGAGACACGGCCCAGACUCCUACGGGAGGCAGCAGUGGGGAAUCUUGCGCAAUGGGCGAAAGCCUGACGCAGCAACGCCGCGUGGAGGACGAAGGCUUUCUGAGUUGUAAACUCCUUUCAGCAGGGACGAUAGUGACGGUACCUGCAGAAGAGCACCGGCCAACUACGUGCCAGCAGCCGG